GAGUAGGGAUUUAAAUUUAGGCCCGAGUUCUUUGAACUGUUGUCUGUAUCUACUGGAUUAGUUGCUUCUUUUUUCUAGAGGUUUGUUUCCCCUUUUUUUUCCUUGCUUGGAUGGCUUUUGUGUCUAUAACGUUGAUUCGAUUUAGAGCCUUCAGCAUAAGCAUUUGAUGUCUAUCACAUUUGUACCGAAGUAUUCUAGCUUAGGGAUUGUUUAUUACGAGGCAAUAUUAUGGGUGU
Hibiscus syriacus is the source of this 236-nucleotide long non-coding RNA. RefSeq lists it as uncharacterized. The transcript is spliced from 3 exons. Lineage: Eukaryota; Viridiplantae; Streptophyta; Magnoliopsida; Malvales; Malvaceae. The record is from RefSeq and is a predicted model, not a curated record.